AGAACUAAACAAACAUAACCUCACUUUUUAACAAAUCAACAUUGACCAUAAAAUUCGAGUUAAACACUUUUUUUUUUAAUAACCGGUUAUAAACUUAAUUAAAUACGUUAAAUAAAUAGUAACUGUUAAUAUAAUUUAGGUAUGUAUAAUUUCGUCUUAUUUCUUGAUGUCAGAUAAAGUGAUUGUUGAAUUUCAGCUAAUUUUAAUCUUAUAAUUUCAUUUAUAUACAAUUUAGUUGCCAAUGUAAAACAUUUUGUAGAAAAGUUUGUAGGCAACCUCAAAAAUGUAAAAUAUGCAUCCGUAGAUGUCAUCGAUUAUACUAAAACACGAAAACCUAAAUCUUGGUAUACAACAUUGAAGAAAAUUAUAUACUUGAAAAGAAUUGCUAUAAAGCCAAAGGAUAGUAAACAAUUAAAUUAGUAUAUUUUUAGAAAAAUCCCUUUAAUUAUUUAUUUAAAAUUAUAUGCUGUCAAAAUGACAGUUCCAAACAAAAUAUAACCUCACUUUUUAAGAAAUCAACAUUGUCCGUAAAAUGCAACUUACACACAUUUUACUGAACAACCGAUUGUAAAAUUGAAUAAAUAUGUUAAAAAAAGUUAACAACAAAUAAUUUUUGAUAUAAAUCUGGUAGGUAUGACUGUAUCAUUUUUCAACAUGGUAAAUAAGGUAAUUGUGUUGGGAUUCAGUUAGAAAAUAAGUUUGUUUAAUAAUUUUAGUGUUAUAGUUUCAUUAAUAUAAGAUUUAGUUUAUUACAGGUAAUAAAUUUUGUAGGGGUAUUAAUAGACAACAAGAAAAUGUAAAACAUGUUUCCGGAGAUGUCAUCAUCAUGAAAAUCACAAAGAAACUUUCUCUUUCUGGAAUACAACGUUGAAGAAGGGAGUGUAUUUAAAGACAACCUUAACAAAGCCAAAAGGUCUUCUUUCAUCUACAACUUGAGGAUUUAUAACAGGUGGCUUCUCUGGUUCAGCAGGUGGCUUCUCUGGUUCGCCAGGUGGCUUCUCUGGUUCAUCAGGUGGAUUAAAAACUCGAGCUGUAACAUUCAUUUUCCUACUCCAACAGCAACACUUCAGGCAAAGCAUGUUUUUCUAGAAGAAAAUAUAGAGAACUCGCGAGAUGUACACCAAAAAAAUAAUAAUUGAUUUUUGUAUUGAUUAAAAAUUGUUCUCCGAGAUUAAUCUAAUCGCGAACGCAUUUCCUUGUACUUAAAUUGUUGAGAUUAAAAGUUAUUAUUAUUU
This is a long non-coding RNA of Onthophagus taurus, 1235 nucleotides long. RefSeq lists it as uncharacterized. The record is from RefSeq and is a predicted model, not a curated record. NCBI's taxonomy places the organism in Eukaryota, Metazoa, Arthropoda, Insecta, Coleoptera, Scarabaeidae.